GACUGGCGGGGGAGGCGGGCAGAGGGGACGCCGCGCCCAAGCCGCGCCUCUGGAUGGCGACAGAGACGGCCCGGCGCGCCCGCUGCCUGGGCACCAAGCGGGGAGGACAGACCUGGCCGGCGCGAAGUUUGUGGACUUGGGCUGCGGGCCCCGGGCGCCCCUACUCCUUCCCGCAGAGUUCCCGCAGAGGCUCGCGACGCCGGGGCCCAGAGUUUACCUUAAAGAUCAUCAGUAGAACUGAUUCAGAGGGAAGUGGAUCCCGUAUAUCCUUUGAGGUCAGCUUCCCCAGCCCCACUCCUCUCUUGGGUCCCCUCAGCAAGACGAGCUCCCAAGACCAGAUGCUCGCCAGGCAGCCCCGUGGUACCAGAGCACCUUCUGAUCCUGCACGAGCAGGGGCCUCCGAGGACCCCAUGAGGCCUUGCUGGAACUGAAUACCCUUUCCCAGGGGUCACUAGAGGGCCCGAUGCAAAGACGUCUCCGGCAUCACCCGUCACCUCGAAUCCCCGCCCACCGGGCCUCUAAGCAGACCGUGGAGGCUGUGAUGAGGGCUGAGGGCCCGUGGUGGCCCGGUGAGGACGCCUCUCCAGCUCCAACAGUAUUCCUGCUGUAAUGUGAGUGUGUCCGGGAGGAUUUUCUUCAUAAAUUUUUCUGUUCCUGCUUAAUUAAAACAGUCUGACUUCCCUCCUCCGUGUCCUCCUGACACGCUUCCUGAUUCCCUCUGCUGGCAUGCAGGCACCACAGACCCUGGGCCCCUGAGAACCUGGGGUUGGUGGGGGGCAGGACCCGUCUGGAAUGUGCUGGGCUGGUGUCCGCCCUCUGGCCCCUGGAGGGGCUCCCUCGCUGUCCCUGCAGCUCCCAGGGGAUGCCAGGAUCUCUAGCUCUUAAGUUCCCCCCUUUGAUGGCAGCCUUUCAUCCUGUUCAGAAGGAAGUGACUUUUUCAAAUGUGACACGUUCCAUUUCGUCCUGUCCAUUCUGAACUCCUGUUAUGUUCCGGACAUUCCCUCAUCCAGCAGCCAUUCGUUGGGCACCUUCUAGAUGUCACUGCUGCAGGGGAGGAAUUAAACAAGACACACGCUUUCUGUUCCCUGGAAACGUGUGCCCGGUUUGGGAAAUGGAUGAGGAAACUGGCAAUCAGAGCGCAGUGUGGCCGAGCCGUGUUGGGAGGGGCUAAUCCGGCAGGGGAAGAGCACUUGGCCCCAGACCAGGUGUGGGGCGCUGGGAGGGUAUGCCAGGGAAGCUUCCAGCAGAGCGGUUUUCAAACAUGGUUAGUGCCAUCCUUAGAAAGAGCACACACAAACACACACGUGAAAUGACAGCUUCACAAACCGAUACCCACACUCUCAAUACUCUGUGCUGUUUUCCAUUCUGUCCUAAUUCAUUCCUUAAAACACUGGUUGUCCACCAACGCUUGUGUUUACUGUAAUUUUCUUUGCUGGACAAGCACUGUUCCAGGGGAGAUGUGGUCUGCGUUGAAUGUGGGAGGAUAAAUUAGAGCCGUCACACCAAAGGUCAGGGGAACCCGGUGACAUUGGGCAGUGGGGGAGCCCCAACCAGAGACAGGGGUACGGUGAGUUUGGCACAAUCUGCUUUCUCUUGGAGCUCACGCCACAAGACUUCUGUGGCUACAACGCGAGGGGGUUGACAUGUAUAAGGAAAAAGUAUUCAAAGACGCUUGCUGAAUAUGGCGACGCAGAUCUGGUUCAGGGCCCUCGCGAUGAGCGCGGGAUGGGGUUGUGCACUAGGGAGGGGCUGGGCUCAACCCGGGGUACGGCGUGGGCCAGUGGGGGUUCCCAGGCAGGGAGCAGGAGGGGCAGUGGGAGGAACGUUACUGAGAGGAAACGUCGAGGUGAGGGGGGCUCCGGUCACACUGACUGAGGGGGCUUCUUGUUACACUGAUUGUACAGGAAGUACAUGGGUGGGCCCCGGAGAGGGCUUGGGAGCCUGAUGGAAGUCCAGUCGAGCAAGGAAUCUUUGUCUGAAAGGAAAGCUUCAUGAAUCUGGAGUGUAUCGACUAAGUCUUUGCUGGGUGCUGAAUCCGGAGUGUAUCGACUAAGUCCGUGCUGGGUGCUACAAAUCCCUACCAGGAAGAGGAAAGAGAGCUGAGCCCUUGGAAUCCCGGUGGUAGAGGGCCCGAAACCCAGUGAGGCUGGAAAGGGCUGAGGAGGGGGGAUGACAGGGACGGCUGAGCAGUGACGGUGGCGGGGUCGCUUGACCAGUGACAAGGGCAGGGCGAUUAAGUUCGAGAUGCAGCCAGCAUCCAGCCCGAAGCAAGGGCAGAUGCUGGUGGCCCCUGGGGGACUGGUGGGAGACCGAGAUGGAAACUGAGAAUGAGGGAGGAGCGGAGUCCUGUUGCUAGGAAACCGCGCAGACCUGGGCCGCCAAGCGCGCUGCCGGGUGACAGCAGCUGUUGAUUGGCUGGUUUGGGGGACUGGCCAGAAGGGACAGGACGUUAAACUCUGAAGCCCCGUAAGCACGCUGGGGAAUCACGCCCCGCCUGCCCUCCGCGCCUAGCCAACGAGGCACGUGCUUGUGCGGCCCCGGGGGCACGGCCUGCGUCUCACCCCACCCCAGGCCCAGAGCCCCGGCCCACGGAGGGCGCCGCCUGCCUCCCGGCCCGCCCAGGCGGCCGAGAGAGCCCCAGGAGUGGAGCGCUGCCCCUGCACAAGACGUGGCCCACGAGAGUGGCUGGCCGUGGCACUCGUUCCACGUGUGGGCAGAGAAUCUGAGCGUCUGCUCUACAGGAUCGGCAGGCGCCGUUUUCUGGCGGGAGGCUGGCGGUGGUUCUGUUCUCCGGCCCUCCGUGCUGAGCGCGCUGCAUUUCUCACUUGAGUCGUGGGCUGCCAGACUGACCGAGAGGCUCCCGGCUGGAUGCUGAACUGGGUGGGAUGUGGGGAUGUCUCCGCCAGGGCAACGGGGAGCCAAGUGUGUUUUAUGGGAAGGCAGGCGCUGUUCUGCGAAGGAUAUGUGUGGUCUGUGCAUGGUAGGCUGCUAAAGGGGUGGACUGUAGUGUGCCUGGCCGGUUCCUCCUUCUGGAAACAGUUGCAGGUUCCCCUUUGAGGGUCCAGGGUGCAUUUUUCAGACACUGCAAGUGCUGGGUGGGACGGGGGCAGGACAGCAGGUGGCAGCAAGUGUAGAAGGCCAGGUAAGAGACAGGCUGGCCGCUUCCCUCGGGGGCAGCCGUGAGCGCAGAGGGACAGACACCAGGGGCUUCAGGCGCUCUAUGGGAGGUGGAGAACCGAGGGCUGGGGGCCAUGGGGCCAUGGCAGAGAUGUGUCACGUGACUCUGCUUCCGGCUAGAAAUGCUGGGAAGUGGCAGCGAUACCUGCCGAGACAGGUACUGGCCGGGUGAGGGGAUGCACAGCAGGGUCAGGGAGGCCAGCCACUUCUUGCUCAGCGUUCAGGCUGCAGCGCGGCGGGAUGCGCGAAAGGGCAGAAGAUCAGCGGGUGCGGACGGCGAACGCAAGCCCCGCGAGGACCCAGGCCCCUGGCUGAAAUCUCAGCGCUGGAAACCGUGUCCUUCACGCAGCCGUAUGUUCCAGGCACCGUCCCGAGCUCAUUGCCUGGAGAGACGGAUCACUGGACACCUGUACUUAGGCGGGUGUGCUGUGGCUGGAGGGGGCGGAGGGCCCGCUCCAGCACCUUCAGCAGAUGAGGGGGGCUGAGGGUGAGGCUGGCGGUUCCCGACGGUACGGCCCCUGCUCCCCUGCCCCUCCGUCCUGAAUUGUGUUCAUUUAAGACAGUUUUGUAACACGGACAGAAGAGAAACAGAAAAUGUUCCUUCAUUCUGCCCCUCAGAGUUAACCACGUAGAGCAUUUC
Molecule: long non-coding RNA, 3817 nt
Organism: Leopardus geoffroyi (Geoffroy's cat)
Lineage: Eukaryota; Metazoa; Chordata; Mammalia; Carnivora; Felidae
Exons: 4
Source: RefSeq, a predicted model, not a curated record